GAUGAACGCUGGCGGCGUGCCUAACACAUGCAAGUCGAGCGAGAAGCUUCUCAGUUGAUUCUUCGGAUGAAACAGAGUUGCGGAAAGCGGCGGACGGGUGAGUAACGCGUAGGCAACCUGCCCCUUGCAGAGGGAUAGCCUCGGGAAACCGGGAUUAAAACCUCAUAAUGCGUCGAGGAGACAUCUUCAUGAUGCCAAAGAUUUAUCGGCAAGGGAUGGGCCUGCGUCUGAUUAGUUAGUUGGUGGGGUAACGGCCUACCAAGGCGACGAUCAGUAGCCGACCUGAGAGGGUGAUCGGCCACAUUGGAGCUGAGACACGGUCCAA
RNAcentral lists this ribosomal RNA (325 nucleotides) under uncultured bacterium. Its description in RNAcentral is "bacterial SSU rRNA". It matches the Rfam family "Bacterial small subunit ribosomal RNA", at positions 28 to 334 of the family's 1533-position model. The record is from RNAcentral.